GGUCUUAUAGUCAAGUAUGAUUUUAAAUUGCAAAUUUAAAGGUGGGUUCAGCUCUAAGGCUU
Molecule: transfer RNA, 62 nt
Filed under: Ludioschema sulcicolle
Lineage: Eukaryota; Metazoa; Arthropoda; Insecta; Coleoptera; Elateridae
Description: tRNA-Cys
Source: RNAcentral